GCAAGUCGAGGGGCAGCAUGGUCUUAGCUUGCUAAGGCCGAUGGCGACCGGCGCACGGGUGAGUAACACGUAUCCAACCUGCCGUCUACUCUUGGACAGCCUUCUGAAAGGAAGAUUAAUACAAGAUGGCAUCAUGAGUCCGCAUGUUCACAUGAUUAAAGGUAUUCCGGUAGACGAUGGGGAUGCGUUCCAUUAGAUAGUAGGCGGGGUAACGGCCCACCUAGUCUUCGAUGGAUAGGGGUUCUGAGAGGAAGGUCCCCCACAUUGGAACUGAGACACGGUCCAAACUCCUACGGGAGGCAGCAGUGAGGAAUAUUGGUCAAUGGGCGAGAGCCUGAACCAGCCAAGUAGCGUGAAGGAUGACUGCCCUAUGGGUUGUAAACUUCUUUUAUAAAGGAAUAAAGUCGGGUAUGCAUACCCGUUUGCAUGUACUUUAUGAAUAAGGAUCGGCUAACUCCGUGCCAGCAGCCGCGGUAAUACGGAGGAUCCGAGCGUUAUCCGGAUUUAUUGGGUUUAAAGGGAGCGUAGAUGGAUGUUUAAGUCAGUUGUGAAAGUUUGCGGCUCAACCGUAAAAUUGCAGUUGAUACUGGAUAUCUUGAGUGCAGUUGAGGCAGGCGGAAUUCGUGGUGUAGCGGUGAAAUGCUUAGAUAUCACGAAGAACUCCGAUUGCGAAGGCAGCCUGUUAAGCUGCAACUGACAUUGAGGCUCGAAAGUGUGGGUAUCAAACAGGAUUAGAUACCCUGGUAGUCCACACGGUAAACGAUGAAUACUCGCUGUUUGCGAUAUACAGCAAGCGGCCAAGCGAAAGCGUUAAGUAUUCCACCUGGGGAGUACGCCGGCAACGGUGAAACUCAAAGGAAUUGACGGGGGCCCGCACAAGCGGAGGAACAUGUGGUUUAAUUCGAUGAUACGCGAGGAACCUUACCCGGGCUUAAAUUGCAGAUGAAUUACGGUGAAAGCCGUAAGCCGCAAGGCAUCUGUGAAGGUGCUGCAUGGUUGUCGUCAGCUCGUGCCGUGAGGUGUCGGCUUAAGUGCCAUAACGAGCGCAACCCUUGUUGUCAGUUACUAACAGGUUCCGCUGAGGACUCUGACAAGACUGCCAUCGUAAGAUGUGAGGAAGGUGGGGAUGACGUCAAAUCAGCACGGCCCUUACGUCCGGGGCUACACACGUGUUACAAUGGGGGGUACAGAGGGCCGCUACCACGCGAGUGGAUGCCAAUCCCAAAAACCUCUCUCAGUUCGGACUGGAGUCUGCAACCCGACUCCACGAAGCUGGAUUCGCUAGUAAUCGCGCAUCAGCCACGGCGCGGUGAAUACGUUCCCGGGCCUUGUACACACCGCCCGUCAAGCCAUGGGAGCCGG
RNAcentral lists this ribosomal RNA (1362 nucleotides) under uncultured Bacteroides sp. RNAcentral's name for it is "16S ribosomal RNA". It matches the Rfam family "Bacterial small subunit ribosomal RNA", at positions 57 to 1414 of the family's 1533-position model. Lineage: Bacteria; Pseudomonadati; Bacteroidota; Bacteroidia; Bacteroidales; Bacteroidaceae. The record is from RNAcentral.